UCCGAUAUGGUGUAACGGCUAACAUUGCCGUCUUUCAUUGAUGCGACUGUUAUUGUUAUCAACGCGGCAGCUCGGGGUUCGAUUCCCCGUAUCGGAA
Non-coding RNA from Mucidula mucida, 97 nucleotides. The record is from the annotation of a GenBank genome assembly. NCBI's taxonomy places the organism in Eukaryota, Fungi, Basidiomycota, Agaricomycetes, Agaricales, Physalacriaceae.